Molecule: long non-coding RNA, 1631 nt
Organism: Raphanus sativus (radish)
Lineage: Eukaryota; Viridiplantae; Streptophyta; Magnoliopsida; Brassicales; Brassicaceae
Exons: 8
Source: RefSeq, a predicted model, not a curated record
UCGAUCUAUCCCCGACUCUUACACUUCAGCUUCAUCGUUUCAUAUCUCUGUAAUAAUCACAAUCCACUUUCACCAUUCAAUUCCCUUAUUUACUCUUUUCAUUACAGAUGUUGUCGUUCCAUCUCCUACUUUUUUCUCUCUUAUACAAUCAUUUUUCUCGAAUCGUUCGUUGGUCAAUAUCCAAAACCCUCUAGAGGAGAACAACAAGUGAUGGCCAUGAAAUCUGUUCUGAACUCCGGUCAGUGCAAGGCUUCGUCUCCUCUAAUCGUUGUCCAGGAACCACAGCCUCAGGAAUUUCUCUGCUACCAAAAGAAAAGCUAUCUGUCGCGUUUCUGAUCACUCUUUGAGUAUCGCAUCCUACUUGAUGAUUUUUUUUUUAUUAGUUCAGAUUCAGAUUUUCAACAUCUGUCGUAACUCUCUGCAUACAUGUUCUGUAAUGUAUUCCUUUGGGGAUUUUGUAUAGGCAUGCCAAAAGAAAGGCGCUCUUUUUAUCUUGAAACAGAUUUGUAGUUUAUGUCGGUUCUUUUCUUCCGUCGCUUGAUUAUUUCAGUAUAGUUGAACUUGACAUCAUCUUAGAUUUGGAGAAUGGGCAUACUUUGCACUUGGUUGUGAGGCAUCCAGCAGAAUCAAUGCCUUCAUCUGGUACGCCUUCAGAAGGAGCUAAUGCAAAUGAUGCAGGAAAUGGUACUAAUGGUGGACCAUCUCGAGGCCGUGGACACAUCUCCCACAGCGUAGUCCUCGGGAGAUUCAAUUCUGCAGAUCAGACUGAAGGCUUUGUUAGCCGGAUUCAUAUUACUGUAUUUCGGUUUAAUGUAGUAUCUCAUAUAAGGUCCGCGUUUCCUGAAUGCUACCUCGGUAACACACUUCUAUUUGACAAUGAAUUGUUUACUGGCUAGAGUGUUCUUAUAGCGUUAUCUGGAUAUGAUGAUUUUAGCAGCUCCACAGCUUCCAAGUAUGGAGGUAUGAAUAAAACUGAACCAAUAACUCUUACUUAGCUGAACAACAACGUUGUUAACUCUCCAUUGCAGGUUGGUGAACUCUAUUCUUUUCAUUUUAGAUAUAUGUUAGCUCAUGAAUCAUGACCUCUCCAUGCAUAUUACUUUCCUCCUGCUAUUGACCAUGUAGACUGCAGAGUUUCUGUGCACUGCCUAGGUCCGUGACAUUGACACCACUAAUGGAUGGUGCUACAACUUCUGCUCUAAAUGCUACCGAAAACUGCGCUUGGUGCCACGAAGACACUGCAGUUGGUGCUGUGAGGUUUUGUGUUCAGAUGGUCGUCACGGAUCCAACAGACUCAGCCAUCUUCGUUGCUUUUGACGUUGAAAUAACAAAGCAGAGGUUGCACAACUCAUGGUAAUGGCAACUAUGGUGAUGAUAUGCAUGGUGUUGGAGAUUUGAAAAGAACUCCAUCUGUUCUGACACCAGUGGCUGAACAUAAGAAGUUUCACUGCUCAUGUGAUGGCUUAAGGACAUACAUGGCCGUAGAUGAUCCAAUUGAAACCUUGGAGAGGAGGAAUUAUCUCAUGAGGAAGGUCGCUUCGCCAAGAAUACCCGCAACAAUGAUUAAGUGUUGAAGACCAGGACUGAUUGAGACUCAAAACACUCUUACACUGAGACGAGACGAGACUUUG